AGGAGAUCUCCAAGAGGAACUCGGAGCGGACGCCUAAAACGCUUGUUUGAGACCUAUUGCGCUUGUUUGACUAGGUGAGUGUUCCAUAUAGGAAUACGUAAUUGAGUAAGUCUAGGACAUGCUCAUUUCAUGAUCGUUAAGUAUUUACCAUACUCGUGCCUAUUUAAGAAAUAUAUAUAUGCAUUGCAUAUUGACAUGAAUUGGUUAAAUGAUUAACC
This 218-nucleotide long non-coding RNA is filed under the name Coffea arabica (coffee). Its description in RNAcentral is "long non-coding RNA (CARA_LNC000186)". Lineage: Eukaryota; Viridiplantae; Streptophyta; Magnoliopsida; Gentianales; Rubiaceae. The record is from RNAcentral.